UAGGUAAAAACCCCUAUAGAAUUUAGAUGGACGACAAGACCCUAAAACCUUCAUCAAUCCAUUAUUAAGAUUAUUUUACUGGGGCGGUAGAUAAUUUAAACAUUAUUCUAUAUAACAUAGUGAAUGACCAAUACUAACUUUAUAAAAUACAAAAAGGUACUUUAGGGAUAACAGCACAAUUCUUAUUAAGAGUAACCAUAUCGACAUAAGAGAUUAUGACCUCGAUGUUGAAUUGAUAUUACCUCACUAAGCAGAAAUAGUGAAAGUAGGUCUGUUCGACCUUU
RNAcentral lists this ribosomal RNA (284 nucleotides) under Porcellionides pruinosus. Its description in RNAcentral is "partial 16S ribosomal RNA". It matches the Rfam family "Bacterial large subunit ribosomal RNA", at positions 2050 to 2589 of the family's 2925-position model. Lineage: Eukaryota; Metazoa; Arthropoda; Malacostraca; Isopoda; Porcellionidae. The record is from RNAcentral.